RNAcentral lists this non-coding RNA (952 nucleotides) under Mugil hospes (Hospe mullet). RNAcentral describes it as "partial 12S ribosomal RNA". It matches the Rfam family "Bacterial small subunit ribosomal RNA". The record is from RNAcentral. Lineage: Eukaryota; Metazoa; Chordata; Actinopteri; Mugiliformes; Mugilidae.
AAAGGCUUGGUCCUGACUUUUCUAUCAUCUUUAGCUGAGCUUACACAUGCAAGUCUCCGCCCCCCUGUGAGAAUGCCCCACAGUUCCCCACCCGGGAACAAGGAGCCGGUAUCAGGCACAAAACCCAAGAGUUUCUGCCCACGACACCUUGCUUAGCCACACCCCCAAGGGACCCCAGCAGUGACCGAUAUUAAGCUAUGAGUGAAAACUUGACUUAGCCACAGCUAAUAGGGCCGGUAAAACUCGUGCCAGCCACCGCGGUUAUACGAGAGGCCCAAGUUGAUAGACACCGGCGUAAAGAGUGGUUAAGUAACUCAACAAAACUAAAGCCGAACGCCCUCAAGACUGUUACACGUGUUCGGAGGCAUGAAGCCCAACUACGAAAGUGGCUUUACCCACAACUGAACCCACGAAAGCUGAGAAACAAACUGGGAUUAGAUACCCCACUAUGCCCAGCCCUAAACUUUGAUAGUCCUACCGCACUCACUAUCCGCCCGGGUACUACGAGCCCUAGCUUAAAACCCAAAGGACUUGGCGGUGCUUAAGAUCCGCCUAGAGGAGCCUGUUCUAUAACCGAUACCCCUCGUUUAACCUCACCCUCUCUUGUUUUAACCGCCUAUAUACCGCCGCCGUCAGCUCACCCUGUAAAGGCUUAACAGUAAGCAGAAUUGGUAUGACCCACAACGCCAGGUCGAGGUGUAGUGUAUGGGAGGGGAAGAAAUGGGCUACAUUUCCUAACCAGGAAACACACGAACAAUGGUCUGAAAUUACCAUUUAGAAGGAGGAUUUAGCAGUAAAUGAAAAACAGAGUGUUUCAUUGAAAAAGGCUCUAAAGCACGCACAUACCGCCCGUCACUCUCCCCGACACACAACCUUUUGUUCAUAAACCAUCCACACAAACUAAGGGGAGGCAAGUCGUAACAUGGUAAGUGUACCGGAAGGUGCACUUGGU